CAGUAGCACGGGAAUACGAACCGUGCAAACGUUACUCGGAAUCACUGGGCUUAAAGCGCACGUAGGCGGCGACAUAAGUUAGAGGUGAAAUCCCAUCGGCUCAACCGUGGAACUGCCUCUAAUACUGUGUUGCUUGAGGGAGAACGGGGCAUUCGGAACUUCCGGUGGAGCGGUGAAAUGUGUUGAUAUCGGAAGGAACGCCGGUGGCGAAAGCGGAAUGCUGGGUCUCUUCUGACGCUGAGGUGCGAAAGCUAGGGUAGCGAACGGGAUUAGAUACCCCCGUAGUCCCUGUCUCUUAUAC
This 301-nucleotide ribosomal RNA is filed under the name uncultured bacterium. RNAcentral describes it as "partial 16S ribosomal RNA". It matches the Rfam family "Bacterial small subunit ribosomal RNA", at positions 509 to 807 of the family's 1533-position model. The record is from RNAcentral.